UUAUAAAGUUUUAUAAAAUUAAAAUAUAUUUUACACUAAACGUUUGUUAAUUAUUUGGACUUGAAUUGUUUAAAUACUCGUAUGUAAACUAUUCCUACAUACUCCUAUUGGACCCACCUUAUUUCAUUUAAAUAGGCCCAAUUUUUUUAUAUGAACCCUUGUGGGUCAAAUAUUUCAUAACUCAAGCUCACUUAUUUAUUAAACCCAAACCUACUCUCUAUUCUCUACUCAUAAAUACCUCCCAAAACCCCAAAAUUUCCCACACAAAGAGGCUCAAAAUCAGAUUUUAUCAAAUUAAUUAUCCUUUUCUUUCUUUUUCUCUUUUCCUCCUUUUCUUAUUCUUUCUUUUCCUUUUCUUUUGUUCCCUGAUGUGUGCUUGAGGUUGUGCAUGGGUGCCUUCCACCUUGCCACAUCAUCACUUGAUGCACCACCUACCACGUCAUUCCUACCGGCGACCCGCCUCAUCACCACUACCGCACCAACGAUCAGCCGGCCAGCCACCUUGGCCGAGACCUUAAGUUUGAUUGGUUUCUACCAUAUAUUGUGGCUAGUUGGAAAGACGGUCUAAGCUACUUUAGCAUAAGAGGACAAAAAUCAUUAAUGUUCCACUAUAGAGGCAACACAAGCAUAUGAAGUUGGGAAUGAAAAGCAGCAGUGCAACAAGAAAAAGACUAUUAAGAUAGUACUUGUAAUUCAAGUGUUAUAUAAGGAAAAGGGUAGGAGUAGGAAGGCAUGUCUUUGUGAAUUGAGAUUGACAGCCUAAAGUUGUUUAGAGAGUGAUAACCUAAAGUUAUCUUUGGCUGGAGAGUGAUAGCCUAAAGCUAUCAAGUUAUCUUGUUCCUUUGAGUAUUUUCCCUUCUUUAUGAAAUUAGUCACUUGCUUGCUGCUAUCA
This is a long non-coding RNA of Chenopodium quinoa (quinoa), 892 nucleotides long. RefSeq lists it as uncharacterized. The transcript is spliced from 3 exons. The record is from RefSeq and is a predicted model, not a curated record. NCBI's taxonomy places the organism in Eukaryota, Viridiplantae, Streptophyta, Magnoliopsida, Caryophyllales, Amaranthaceae.